GACGAACGCUGGCGGCGUGCUUAACACAUGCAAGUCGAACGGAAAGGCCCUGCUUUUGUGGGGUGCUCGAGUGGCGAACGGGUGAGUAACACGUGAGUAACCUGCCCUUGACUUUGGGAUAACUUCAGGAAACUGGGGCUAAUACCGGAUAGGAGCUCCUGCUGCAUGGUGGGGGUUGGAAAGUUUCGGCGGUUGGGGAUGGACUCGCGGCUUAUCAGCUUGUUGGUGGGGUAGUGGCUUACCAAGGCUUUGACGGGUAGCCGGCCUGAGAGGGUGACCGGCCACAUUGGGACUGAGAUACGGCCCAGACUCCUACGGGAGGCAGCAGUGGGGAAUAUUGCACAAUGGUCGGAAGCCUGAUGCAGCAGCGCCGCGUGCGGGAUGACGGCCUUCGGGUUGUAAACCGCUUUCGCCUGUGACGAAGCGUGAGUGACGGUAAUGGGUAAAGAAGCACCGGCUAACUACGUG
Molecule: ribosomal RNA, 468 nt
Filed under: uncultured bacterium
Lineage: Bacteria
Description: partial 16S ribosomal RNA
Rfam family: Bacterial small subunit ribosomal RNA
Source: RNAcentral